GAUGAACGCUGGCGGCGUGCCUAAUACAUGCAAGUCGAGCGCACAUACGCGGAGCUUGCUCCUCUGACGUUAGCGGCGGACGGGUGAGUAACACGUGGAUAACCUACCUAUAAGACUGGGAUAACUUCGGGAAACCGGAGCUAAUACCGGAUAAUAUAUUGAACCGCAUGGUUCAAUAGUGAAAGACGGUUUUGCUGUCACUCAUAGAUGGAUCCGCGCCGCAUUAGCUAGUUGGUAAGGUAACGGCUUACCAAGGCCACGAUGCGUAGCCGAACUGAGAGGGUGAUCGGCCAAACUGGAACUGAGGAACGGUCCAGACUCCUACGGGAGGCAGCAGUAGGGAAUCUUCCGCAAUGGGCGAAAGCCUGACGGAGCAACGCCGCGUGAGUGAUGAAGGUCUUCGGAUCGUAAAACUCUGUUAUUAGGGAAGAACAAAUGUGUAAGUAACUAUGCACGUCUUGACGGUACCUAAUCAGAAAGCCACGGCUAACUACGUG
This 497-nucleotide ribosomal RNA is filed under the name uncultured bacterium. RNAcentral describes it as "partial 16S ribosomal RNA". It matches the Rfam family "Bacterial small subunit ribosomal RNA", at positions 28 to 507 of the family's 1533-position model. The record is from RNAcentral.